CAAUCGGCCCUUUUCAGGGCCAACAAAUGUGCACUUAAAAGAUUUUU
This is a non-coding RNA of Aedes aegypti (yellow fever mosquito), 47 nucleotides long. NCBI's taxonomy places the organism in Eukaryota, Metazoa, Arthropoda, Insecta, Diptera, Culicidae. The record is from Rfam.